CGCAAGUUGCGCCCGAAGCCAUUAGGCCGAGGGCACGUCUGCAUGGGCGUCAC
Molecule: ribosomal RNA, 53 nt
Filed under: Ourisia cockayneana
Lineage: Eukaryota; Viridiplantae; Streptophyta; Magnoliopsida; Lamiales; Plantaginaceae
Description: partial 5.8S ribosomal RNA
Source: RNAcentral